CCACUUCCAGCCCUUUGCCUAAGAUUAGCCUAUGGGAAGCAUGGCCUCUGUGUGAAUUGGUGGUGGAUUCAAAGCACAGCAUCUGGGGUCCUGUGUCAAUUACGCUCUCCUCAACAGAAGAUCUGAGUGGUGGUGCAUCUUCAUGGCUGCUGGCAGGCCCCGCUGUGUAAUUACGUCUGGAAUUGGUGGGUUCUUGGUCUCACCGACUUCAAGAAUGAAGCCGUGGAUCCUCGUGGUGAGUGUUACAGCUCUUAAGGUGACGCACCUGGAGUUUGUUCCUUCUGAUGUUCAGAUGUGUUUGGAGUUUCUUCCUUCUGGUGGGUUCGUGGUCUCGUUGGCUCAGGAGUGAAGUUGCAGACCUUGGCGGUGAGUGUUAGAGCUCUUAAGGUAGUGCAUCUGGAGUUGUUCAUUCCUCCCGGUGGGCUUGUGGGCUCUCUAGCUUCAGGAGUGAAGCUGCAGAUCUUCGCAGUGAGUGUUACAGCUCAUGAAAGCAGUGUGGAGUCAAAGAGUGAGCAGUAGCAAGAUUUAUUGCAAAGAGCGAAAGAACAAAGCUUCCACAGGGUGGAAGGG
This 570-nucleotide long non-coding RNA is filed under the name Homo sapiens (human). Its description in RNAcentral is "HSALNT0078264". Lineage: Eukaryota; Metazoa; Chordata; Mammalia; Primates; Hominidae. The record is from RNAcentral.